AGUCUAUGAUGAUUUUAAUUUUAAGAGUAGUGGACAGAAGAGAUUUCUGAGCAAUUUCAUACUGAGACU
This 69-nucleotide small nucleolar RNA is filed under the name Anabas testudineus (climbing perch). RNAcentral describes it as "Small nucleolar RNA SNORD75 (ENSATEG00000006706.2)". It matches the Rfam family "Small nucleolar RNA SNORD75". Rfam says of the family: U75 (SNORD75) belongs to the C/D class of snoRNAs which contain the C (UGAUGA) and D (CUGA) box motifs. Most of the members of the box C/D family function in directing site-specific 2'-O-methylation of substrate RNAs. The record is from Rfam by way of RNAcentral. Lineage: Eukaryota; Metazoa; Chordata; Actinopteri; Anabantiformes; Anabantidae.